CAAAAAUAACCCAGUGGCAUUCCUGCUGAGUGCCUUUGUUUGAUUGAUUCGGACAGCUUGUGAAGUAGCAUACAUUGUGGGGUCUAUUCAAUACACGUCGUGGAAAUUCAGUUUUACAGCUUGAUUGACAUUUUAAAGGCAAUGUUUCCACUUUAGCGGAGACUGCAUUCACGGGAGCUAACAUCAACCAACAGUCAAAUGUCAUGACUACACAAUCACCAUCCUAUUGCCAAGGAGUCAAAUGAAAUCUAAUUGCAUUUGAUUUGUCACAUGUGCCGAAUACAAUUAUUAUAAUAAAAAGAAAAAUACUAACACAAGAGUAUUGAUCAGGUACCAGUACCAGUACCAGUACCAGAUCAAUGUGCAUGGAGGGAUAUGAUGAAUUUGAGGUAGAUAUGUGCAUGAAGGCAGGGUAAAGUGACUAGGCAUCAGGAUAGAUAUUAAUAAGACUAGAAUAAAGAACAGAGUAGCAGCAGCAUAUUAUGAGUGUAAAAGUGUGUGUUUGCGUGUGUUUUGUGUCAUUUUACACGUGUGUGUGUAUGU
RNAcentral lists this long non-coding RNA (543 nucleotides) under Salmo salar (Atlantic salmon). RNAcentral describes it as "lncRNA (ENSSSAG00000098313.1)". Lineage: Eukaryota; Metazoa; Chordata; Actinopteri; Salmoniformes; Salmonidae. The record is from RNAcentral.